RNAcentral lists this ribosomal RNA (433 nucleotides) under uncultured bacterium. RNAcentral's name for it is "partial 16S ribosomal RNA". It matches the Rfam family "Bacterial small subunit ribosomal RNA", at positions 29 to 507 of the family's 1533-position model. The record is from RNAcentral.
AACGAACGCUGGCGGCAUGCCUAACACAUGCAAGUCGAACGAGACCUUCGGGUCCAUUGGCGUCUGGGUGCGUCACGCGUCGGAACCUGCCCUCAGGUUCGGCCUACCUCUCCGACAGGGGUGCUAAUACCGGAUAAUGUCUUCGGACGGAGGAUUUAUCGCCUUUGAUUGUGCCGGCGUUGAAUUAGCUAGUUGGUAGGGUUAUAGCCUACGACGGCGCCCAUCCAUAGCUGGUCAGAGAGGAAGAUCAGCCACACUGGGACUGGGACACGGCCCGGACUCCUACGGGAGGCAGGAGUGGGGGAUAGUGGACAGUGGGCGAAAGCAUGAUCGAGCAAUGACGCGUGAGUGAUGAAGGCAUUAGGGUUGUAAAGCGUUUUUAACCGGGAUGAUAAUGACAGUACCGGGAGAAAAAGCCCCGGCUAACUCCGUG